Molecule: non-coding RNA, 641 nt
Organism: Heterocephalus glaber (naked mole-rat)
Lineage: Eukaryota; Metazoa; Chordata; Mammalia; Rodentia; Bathyergidae
Source: RefSeq, a predicted model, not a curated record
CACAGCUCUGCAUAAUCUGGUACUUCAAUCCUCAGUGCCUUCCUUCCCAAUGAUGAGAAGACAGAAAAAGUGCAAAACUGCGGCUCUACUUCUCCAUCAAGAUUUGCCCCAGAUAAAUGAUCAACAGACUUCUGUGGAAGAUUCUCAAAGAUACUCUGUUAAAAUUAGUAUAUCAGUAAGGAGUUCCAUAAAGAUUUGCUAAUCCUGGUCUAUGAAGACACCUGAUUUUUCUAUCUUAACAGCAAUUAGAGCCAGGCAUGGUGGCAUACACCCAUAAUCACACCAUCAGGAGGCCGAGAAAGAAGGAUCAGUGUGAGUUCGAGGCCAGCCCGAACUACAAACGUAGCGAGACCUUGUCUCAAAAAAAGGAAAAACGCAAUUAGAUUUAAUAAUGGGAAGCACAUACUGAAAACCAGAACAUUUCAAGGAGAACCUGAUGUCAAGCCCAUUUUGUUUCUCCACGUGGGUGCUGACUCUGUAAAGCAAGCAUGGAAAGCCACAGGAGAGAUUUAUACACAACAUACUGUCUGAUGUGCAUUAUUUGAAUCUGGCUUUAGAAUGCCUAACUCUACUUUACAUUCCCCAACAAGGAUAACUUUAUUUAAAAAUGCAGAUUUAAAUGAAGUAUUUUCAAACUGUAA